This 466-nucleotide ribosomal RNA is filed under the name Selenomonas sp. oral taxon F29. Its description in RNAcentral is "bacterial SSU rRNA". It matches the Rfam family "Bacterial small subunit ribosomal RNA", at positions 28 to 466 of the family's 1533-position model. The record is from RNAcentral. Lineage: Bacteria; Bacillati; Bacillota; Negativicutes; Selenomonadales; Selenomonadaceae.
GACGAACGCUGGCGGCGUGCUUAACACAUGCAAGUCGAACGGGAUGAUUUAAGAGCUUGCUCUUGGAGAAUCUAGUGGCAAACGGGUGAGUAACACGUAGACAACCUGCCGACAGGAUGGGGACAACAUUCCGAAAGGAAUGCUAAUACCGAAUGAAGCGGAGGAGAGGCAUCUCUCCUCCGUGAAAGAUGGCCUCUGAACAUGCUAUCACCUGUCGAUGGGUCUGCGUCUGAUUAGCUGGUUGGUGAGGUAACGGCUCACCAAGGCGACGAUCAGUAGCCGGUCUGAGAGGAUGAACGGCCACAUUGGGACUGAGACACGGCCCAGACUCCUACGGGAGGCAGCAGUGGGGAAUCUUCCGCAAUGGGCGCAAGCCUGACGGAGCAACGCCGCGUGAGUGAAGAAGGUCUUCGGAUCGUAAAGCUCUGUUGAUGGGGACGCUCGUGCCUAAUGCGAAUAGUAUAGG